CCGGUGUGUGCGUGCUUCUGUCCGGGUGAAAAGCAGGGCGAAUCGAUCGUGUGUUGGCAGGGUGUUUUUUUACCGUCCUCGUUUGCACCCAGCGGCCACCCGUGAAAAUAUCUCCUCUCCCUUGCCUUCUCUCACGUGCUCUCCCCUCCCCUGAUCCCCUCCUUCCCUACCGUCGCGCCGCCGGCUCCACGCAGCGGCCGACGCGGCCUUCUCUCCCCGGCGCUCGAGGUACAGCAGCGGCUGCGGCACUUGUCGGCCCAGCCGGAUCCGGUGCAGGUCGCCGGCAUCACGCGCCGCGUGCCGUGAUUCUGGAUCGGGCGCAGAUCUUUGCGCCGCCACCUCUCCUCCUCCUAUCUCUCUCCCAUGUCGCCAUUGUUGCAAGGAGCAGGGGAGAUAGGUGCCGAGGACAAGAAGCAACGGGUUGCAAGGAGCAGGGGAGAUAGCUGCUGGGGAGAUGGAGGAGGCCGUCGUGGUUCGUCAUGGAGGCGGCGCCGCCGGCAAGCUGGUUGAGAAAACCAAAUCUGCACCAUGCCGCCUCACCCUCUCAGAUUACUGUUUCAUCCCUUUGAUAGUUUUUUAGCACAGAGGAAUGAGGAAUGGAUACAUGAGGCAUGGCGUAAGCGUAGGGGUCAGCCAGGGCAUGACGCAAGAGUCUGCCCAUCUCCUCUCAAACCGCUGGAACUGAGGGAUAUUGACACGGGUAACAAAAUAGUUGAAAGAUUUCGCACCGACGAGGCUCUUGAGACUACAAACAUUUCUUCACUCCUUGUACGAAAGGAUUCUAGGACUAAGUUAUAGGAUUUUAUAUUUUAGUCGGAUAUUCCUUCUGUUAAUAUGUGCUCCUGUGCAAUUUUUCAUAGGCUUCUCUUUCCUUUUUCUGGUUACGGUUUACAAAGCUGAGCAAUAGUUUCUCUACUAAUGUAGCUUGCGUUAAAAACAUCCGUCUUUAGGAUGCUUUUGCGGCAUGUGUAACUGACUCACAUUAGCCUAUGCUUCUAUCCGAGUUGUUUACUACUAAGACCAUAAUGGAUCAUGCUUUUUAACUGGUAUAUAAGUGUUGAUAGAAAAUGAUAUGUCUUAUUUUUUGCCUGGUAAAUUUUAAUUGGUGCAUGCAAUCCAUGCUUCCCAGUCUUUGGUGACAAUGUUGUCAGGCCUAAAAAUAGAAGUUUUCGAUUUCCUCUGGUUUUUAGUUGGUUAGAUGUUAAUGCGUGGAAAUGUAUAUGCUGAUUUUUUUCCUGUUUUAAUAAAUUGCUAAUACGUGGAUCUUGUCUGCUUUGCAUGGACUAUAGUAUAUAUUCACAGACUUUGUCUGCUUGCUUCAAAACUAAAAUGUGACUUUUACUUGCCUAUUACCAAAGAAGAUUUCAUGCAUGCCACAUCAAGUCGCCAUAGAUGCCUCCAAGUGAAAUUUCAGCGACGACAAGGUAUAUUUUCCCCAACACCUGAUCUUCUUUAAUCAGACCACCGUUCAUUAUUGCGUAUAGGCUUCUUACUCUGUGCCUGAAUAAGCGAUUGGUAUCCACAUGUUUGUUUCCAUGUGUUCUACUGUCUUUCUGGUACUUGAAGCAUAGUAUGUUUCAUGUGUGCGACUACAGUUCCAGCGAGUUGGAAGUCCUGUUGUUCUCAAAGUUUGCAUCAUAUGCCCUUUAGAGAAAUCUUUAUUGAACAUUUUAAUUUUCCUCAUACAUGCUUAUCAUUUGGCAUCAUGUUAUUUUGUGACACAGUAACUGAAUAUGCACACAGGAGGAUCACUCUGGAUGUGUAGGAGGUACUUCCUCCGUAAACUAAUAUAAGAGUGUUUAGAUUACUAAAAUAGUGAUCUAAACGCUCUUAUAUUAGUUUACAGAGGGAGUAUGAAGUAAUAGCCAUUUUUUUUCUCUGUGUAGAUUUGGCAUCAUAUUGCCCAGUAACUGAAUAUGCACGCAUGAGGAUCACUCUGGAUGAUGGAAAAUGCAUUAUCCGUGGUAAGAAGCUAACGGUGUCGCCCCAUUUAUACCACAUUUAGGCAUGAUAAUUAAAUUAGCCUUCAAAUUAAAUAGAUGUCCGCAUUCAUGGGUACAUAGCUGAGCUGAGCUACUAUUUUCUUGUUUGGGAAUGAGGUAACACUAUACAGACAGCAUGUUGACACUCUGAACAGCUUAAUACUAGACGGAAACAAAAUUUCUCUUCCUACUAUGUCUGUACCAUGAACAAGAUGUUCGCAACAAGUGGUCAACAAAUGGUAUUCUGUUCCCGUCCUUUCUCCUUUUUAUGAAUCUUCAUAGCUGCAUCUUAACCAUGCUUAAUAUCUAUUGCAGCACUUUUCCACUCACUUCACACAAGAAUAUCUCAAGGGGCACAUGCAUGGAGAGCAUACUGAUUUGCUGAUCAAAGCUGGAAACAGACCUGCCAUCGUCAUUGCUCGGCUUAUCAUACAAUCACAAGAAGCUGGACUCAGUUCUUUGACAUUGCAAAUAUGAAAGGAGGAGUGUCAUAUGCAUUUGCCUUUGAGGAAUUGGCAGGAGAACUCAUAUCAUCGUGCACUCCCUUUGAUAGCUUCAUGAGCAACCACUGCCAUCAUCUCAUAAUAUAGCUCAGGUUCAAGACCUAGGUCAUGCACUACUUUUCUCGACCAUAUAAUGUGCUCUGCGUCACCUUAUCCUUUCAGCUCCAGUACUUCAUAAUAUAAAGUAGAUGAAACAUCUUUUUAAAUUGGUGUGGAAAUACAAAUGCAGAUGGAGCUAUGUAAUCCAGCUUGCUUUCUAUCAUGAGUUGGUUUCAUGACUUUGUUUUCAGCCAUCUUGGUACCAUGCAAUGGAAUAUAUAACACUAUGUUUGAACAUUGUA
Triticum urartu is the source of this 2826-nucleotide non-coding RNA. The record is from RefSeq and is a predicted model, not a curated record. Lineage: Eukaryota; Viridiplantae; Streptophyta; Magnoliopsida; Poales; Poaceae.